UGGAAGACCCCCCCCUCUCCAGAUAUAUAGGUUGCGGCGUCCCCUCGGUGCCGUAAUGGCACCCCCUGGCCGCCAUUAGCGCAGUGAGGAAAAAAAUCCUGUCCGCCGCCAUUGCCGGGCUGAGAGAGGGCUGCCAACUUCGAUCUCGCGGUGGGCCUAUGCUGGGUCGCGGCGUGCUUCUCCGAUGGGUGCUCGUCGUCCCGAGGAAGAUCUUCGUGGUCGUCUCGGACGGGUGAUGUGCCUUAGCUUCGCCAAUGGCGCAUCGGAUGCUGCGUCCGCCACCGGGGGGGGCACUGCUGGCCAAUACCACUGCCUGGCAACCGGUAAGAUCUCCUCUAGCGUACUCACCAUCAACUUCGUAUCGCGUAGAAGCUUUCGUACUUGGAAGUAGUGACCUAGGGCGCCGAAUUGUUGAUCACCGGCGAUGUUUCGCUGCUGGCCGGUGGCGUCGCCGCCACCCAACGGUGAAAGGAUUGGGGAGAAUCGUGUGCGACGUCGAUCGCGGAUCAGAUGGUGUAGAUUAGAUCUGGCAUACCCGUUAGAGUAGAUGAGAUCUAUGUCGUUGGAUGGAAAUCGAGCGGGCGGAAAUCGAUCUGAAGAUUUUGAAUCUGGAGCGUUGGUAUUGCAUCGGAGGGCUCUCGAUUGCGCGCGGGGUCGCAAGGAUGCGAUCUAAUCUAGGCACUCAGAUCUAAAUCCAAUGGACCAGAGCUCUCCAUACCCAUUCAGCCUGGAGAUCUUUCUAAAGAGCCCC
This 751-nucleotide long non-coding RNA is filed under the name Zea mays. Its description in RNAcentral is "long non-coding RNA NONZMAT000838". The record is from RNAcentral. Lineage: Eukaryota; Viridiplantae; Streptophyta; Magnoliopsida; Poales; Poaceae.